AGCCAUAUCACGUUGAAACACCACUUCACGUACGAUCACCGAAGUUAAGCAACAUCGAAGCUGGUCAGUACAUAGAUGCAUGACCGCUUGAGAAUACCAGGUGU
Molecule: non-coding RNA, 104 nt
Organism: Acanthosepion pharaonis
Lineage: Eukaryota; Metazoa; Mollusca; Cephalopoda; Sepiida; Sepiidae
Source: the annotation of a GenBank genome assembly